GAUGUAACUUUUCUUUACAGUGGGUCUCUUUGUGUUCUUUUGCGAUGGCAUUUGAUGCAAAGGUGAUCUUUGUAUGGACAAAUUUUUAUGG
Molecule: microRNA precursor, 91 nt
Filed under: Schistosoma japonicum
Lineage: Eukaryota; Metazoa; Platyhelminthes; Trematoda; Strigeidida; Schistosomatidae
Description: microRNA sja-mir-3481 precursor
Source: miRBase by way of RNAcentral